RNAcentral lists this long non-coding RNA (1816 nucleotides) under Theobroma cacao (cacao). RNAcentral describes it as "long non-coding RNA (TCAC_LNC005188)". The record is from RNAcentral. Lineage: Eukaryota; Viridiplantae; Streptophyta; Magnoliopsida; Malvales; Malvaceae.
UCAUUCUUCAUGGUCAGCCAAAGCAAAGAACAAAGGGAAAAGAAUAAGAACAAACCCUAGAGAGGAAAAUUCAAGAGAAAAUUGUUGAAUUUCAAGGAACCAAGCAAUCAAAGGUAAGAUUUUUUAAUUUUAGCUUAAGAUCUAUCUUACCCAUGCUUUUUUUUUCAUUUUCUAUGGAUGAAACACAGGUUUCCAUGAGGGAAUACAUGCUGGCCGAACAUUGGGAGAGAGGUUUUGAUGAUGAAUUUUGCUAGAUUUCAUGAUAUCUUAAUGUUUUUAGUUGUUUGAUGAUGUUUGGCAUGAAAAACUAGCAAGAAAAUCACGUGCCCUUCAAAAACCCUCUUUGGCCGAAUUUAUUAGGUGACAUGUUGAUGAUGGAUUUUGAUGUGUUUCAUCUUAUUUAGCUUGUAGUUGAUGAUUUAUGGUAUCGGAUAUCGAAAUCGAAAUAAAUUUCGAUUACGGUGAAUUAAGUCACAAUUAAGCUCAUUGAGGUACUUUGGUGUAUUUGGAAUAUUGGAAGUGUAAUGAAGAUAUUUGGAGUUGAAUUUGAUGUUUUGGCUAAUUAAACAGGGCAUAGUCCGAGUUAGGUAGAAUGCCAAUUCAAUCCGAUCAUAAUUGAACCCACGUAGAACACUGUCUUUAAGUGAUUAUUCAGACAAUUCUCAUUCAAUUUCAUGCAUUCAUAUAGAGCCUGAAAUAUUUUUAUAACAGUUUGACACAAAUAUAUUGAAUUACGUGUCGUGUAUUAUGUAUAGGUGGUGAGCCCUCUGAUAAGGGUAAAGACAUCGUACCCAAGGACCAAGAAUAAGAGUACUUUAAACUCCCGCCAUUGUGAGUAAUCAAAUGUUCAUUUUAACUAUCUAAAGUAGUUUAUAUUCAUUUUUAUGAUUUUAAAGAAAAAUGAGUUUAAAUUGUAAAUUAUUAUGUUUUAAAAUUGAAGUGUUGAUUAAACAAAAUGAGAUUUAUAACUUGUUUUGAAAUUGAAUACUGGUUUUAGAAAUUGAGUAAGUGGAGACUGUAUACUCGUGUUAUGCAUAUGUUUUGACAUAUGGUUUGAAUUGAUGGCUUAUGACAAUGUGAUGGCAAGCAUGGUUGGAUUUGUGUUUGUGUGGAAUAUAUGAACUGUUUUGCUUGGCCUUGACAGGCUAGUAAUAUUAUAUUAGCCAUGUCAUGCUAUCGGAAAUUUUAUUGAAUUGGUGGGUUAUUUGAUUAGCUUACUGUAGUGGGCGAGUUUCCGUGGACCAGCCUAUGAGAGGGGCACGGUAAACCCUCGUUAUAUUUUACCUGAUUAUGAGAGGUGCGGAGGGUAUCUCCUAAGGUAAAGUUAGAGUUCACCUCACGCCGAACCACCACAUAAGGGUGAAACUCAGCCAACUCCAAGGAAUGACUGUGCUUUUAAAUGUAAAAGAAUAAGUAUUAUAUUCAUAUGUUAUUCUAAUAGCCUUGGCGGACUCGGUUGGAUGCCCUGACGCAAGUUGUCACCGAGUGCAAGUUUUGGCACGAGCCAAGUUUUUACGAGAAUCAUAAGCCUUGUUGAUUUUGAUGAAAUGAAAUUGAUUUAUAUGGGUGGAAAUGAGAUUUGAUGUUAUGAAUCACAUUAUACUAAGAUGUUUUAAAUUAUCUCUAUUUACUCGGUUUUAGAUGUUAUAUAUGAAAUUUGCUUACUCACUGGGUUUAUAAGAGCUCACCCCUCCUUUUCACCCAUUUCAGGCUCAGGAUAGUCUGUAGACAGCCGAUUUUGUCGAAGGUUGCUUUUGGAUUUGCAUCCUUAGAAAUCGAAGGUCCACAGUCUUGUAUGUUUUCAGUUAUUUUAGGG